CCUACGGGAGGCAGCAGUGGGGGAUAUUGCACAAUGGGGGAAACCCUGAUGCAGCGACGCCGCGUGAGUGAAGAAGUAUUUCGGGAUGUAAAGCUCUAUCAGCAGGGAAGAAAAUGACAGUCGCUGACCACGAAGCCCCGGCUAACUACGUGCCAGCCGCCGCGGUAAUACGGAGGGGGCACGCGUUAUCCGGAUUUACUGGGUGUAAAGGGAGCGUAGACGGUUAUGUAAGUCUGGAGUGAAGGCCCGGGGCACAACCCCGGGACUGCUUUGGAAACUGUGGAACUGGAGUACAGGAGGGGCAGGAGGAAUUCGUGGUGUAGCGGUGAAAUGCGUAGAUAUCAGGAGGAACACCGGCGGCGAAGGCGGCCGGCUGGACUGAAACUGACGUUGAGGCUCGAAAGCGUGGGGAGCAAACAGGAUUAGAUACCCCUGUAGUC
Molecule: ribosomal RNA, 440 nt
Filed under: uncultured bacterium
Lineage: Bacteria
Description: partial 16S ribosomal RNA
Rfam family: Bacterial small subunit ribosomal RNA
Source: RNAcentral